UACGUAGGGGGCAAGCGUUGUCCGGAAUCAUUGGGCGUAAAGCGCGUGUAGGCGGCCCGGUAAGUCCGCUGUGAAAGUCGGGGGCUCAACCCUCGAAUGCCGGUGGAUACUGUCGGGCUAGAGUGCGGAAGAGGCGAGUGGAAUUCCUGGUGUAGCGGUGAAAUGCGCAGAUAUCAGGAGGAACAUCGGUGGCGAAGGCGGCUCACUGGACCAGUACUGACACUGAGGAGCGAAAGCAUGGGGAUCAAACAGG
RNAcentral lists this ribosomal RNA (253 nucleotides) under uncultured bacterium. RNAcentral describes it as "partial 16S ribosomal RNA". It matches the Rfam family "Bacterial small subunit ribosomal RNA", at positions 524 to 776 of the family's 1533-position model. The record is from RNAcentral.